This is a long non-coding RNA of Dermochelys coriacea (leatherback sea turtle), 911 nucleotides long. RefSeq lists it as uncharacterized. The transcript has 2 exons. NCBI's taxonomy places the organism in Eukaryota, Metazoa, Chordata, Testudines, Dermochelyidae. The record is from RefSeq and is a predicted model, not a curated record.
GGGCUUCAUCAUCACUGGAGGACUGGCACUGGUUCCUCUGAGUGACUGUAAGCUAUUUAUUUUCCCAAAGGAUCAGAGACCUGAAUAUUUAUUCCACUAACACAUGCUGCUAUGGGCCAAAACCUUCUAUCAGAAUUGCCCGCUCUGGGCCUUCAAUGGGUGAUAGCUAGUCCUUGGCGCAAUGCAGACACACGUUGGAGCUGAACUUUGGAACAGGAGUGAGAAUAAGGAACACAAAAUCCCACUCACUCAUCCUGAACAGACUAGUAUCUCCUCCAAAGAGAGAGAAGAGCCUGUUCAAGCGGGAUGCCUACCAUUAUGUGGCACCCUCAUGAGCUCAUGGAUCUGAUCAAACUUGAGAGAGAAAAUCAUGCUGAACCAAUGAGCCUGAGAGUCAAAGAUUAGUGAAGUGUCAUGAUCAUAUACUAAAUGCAACCAGACACAUUAACAGCUUCUCCUUCAGGAGCACCCCGACAGCUCACCGUGGCUGGCUGGUGAACUGAGAAGGACGAAGCAGGAUGCCUUGCUAGCCCUGCCAGCAAAGGGCUGGGAGUCCUGCUUCGUGUGGGUAUCGCAUUGAGAGGGUGCAUGCCCUAGCCCACCCGCAUCUGCAUUAGUUGGGGGAACUUGUGGAUAUUUUCCACCACUGAUGUCGCUUGGGGGUUGGUUGGGAGGCUGGUUACCAGGGGAUUUGGGGAGGGGGAGUGUCUGAAGUUCUAAAAGUAGGGGAUUCAUUGUGGGGGGCAUGCUGGUGAAAGUCUAUCCCUCUCCUUUGUUUGGUUUGCUGGGAUAUGUUUCCUUCCCUGGGCCAGAUGCAGAUUAAUCCCAGGUGGGAAUGUAGGGUGAGUCUUGGUGCCAUUGGUUGGGUCUGUUGUCUUGUGUGUGCUGCUUAAUGCAAGGCCAGCAGUGAA